Molecule: ribosomal RNA, 500 nt
Filed under: uncultured bacterium
Lineage: Bacteria
Description: partial 16S ribosomal RNA
Rfam family: Bacterial small subunit ribosomal RNA
Source: RNAcentral
AUUGAACGCUGGCGGCAUGCCUUACACAUGCAAGUCGAACGGCAGCACGGGAGCAAUCCUGGUGGCGAGUGGCGGACGGGUGAGUAAUAGAUCGGAACGUGCUCAGUCGUGGGGGAUAACGCAGCGAAAGCUGUGCUAAUACCGCAUACGAUCUCGGGAAGAAAGCGGGGGAUCUCAAGACCUCGCGUGAUUAGAGCGGCCGCUAUCGGAUUAGCUAGUUGGUGGGGUAAAAGACCACCAAGGCGACGAGCUGUAGCUGGUCUGAGAGGACGACCGGCCACACUGGAACUGAGACACGGUCCAGACUCCUACGGGAGGCAGCAGUGGGGAAUUUUGGACAAUGGGCGCAAGCCUGAUCCAGCAAUGCCGCGUGCAGGAUGAAGGCCUUCGGGUUGUAAACUGCUUUUGUACGGAACGAAACGGCGAGCUCUAAUACAGUUUGCUAAUGACGGUACCGUAAGAAUAAGCACCGGCUAACUACGUGCCAGCAGCCGCAGUAA